ACAAGAAUGAAGGGGAGUUGAGCUGGGAGGGACGGGGGGGGGGGGAGCAUGACUCCCCUAAGUGAGUGCUGAGGUCAAAGGUGGGGGCUCUUCCCUGCCCUCUGAAGCACACACUAACUAUAUGGCUCUUACCCCUGCCUUUCCUCUACCUCCAAGAAGAAGUCCAGACGGCUUCUGUGUCUCUCCUCAGUCGCUCACGGCACGCCCUGAGUGACCCCUGGUCUCCCCAGCCCCUUUACAUCAACCACCUGUGAGGCUGAGGUGGACGGCCUGAUGAGUGUACACAUUUCCACUACUUACAGAGCGGAGCCGAGAAACGCCUCCACCCUCCUCCUCCAUCCCAAGCCUCAGGCCGGCUCCCACCCCUCACAGAACCUUCACUGCGCCCCUUCUUCUCAUCCACACUCUUCCAUAUUCUCCUUUCUGCUUCAUUAUACACCUCCAGAUUUGUGGGGGUGGGGUGGGGCACCCUAUAGGGAUGGCUCAGCAAAUGUGAGCCCCGUAAACAUGAGCACUUUUCAUCAGCAAGGAGGGGACAGGCGUCCUGAGGCAUUUGUUCCCCUGGGAAGCCCACCCACAGGCUGUGUGGCAGAGGACAGAGCGCCACACAUUAGCUGAGUGGCCUUGGGCCCCUCCCCCACCCUCUGUACCACUUCUCUCUUCGUGCUCCAGAACAGUCUCUCACUUAACUACAGAGUCCCUGUCCCGUCUUCAUGGGCAAGCAGGUGCUGAGCACACUUUUACCGCCAGCAGUGUGAAGGAUCUGAAGUAGAUGAACUCAUUUCAUCUCAACCCCGCCCCAGAACACAGUAGCCUAAGCCAAACACGGUUUGGAGGGCAGCGAUCUCAAAGUCAAGAACAGACAGAAGCUCACAGCCUCACUUGUGCCCUCCAGUGCAUCUCUCCAUCAUGCCAACAACGCCCUCACCUUGCAUGUCAAACCAAGGGCUGACUCUAGCACUUUUUGAGAGGAGCAUGCCGAAUGUCACUGUGAUGUGGGGAGAAAAGAAGCUCAUCCCAUUCCCAGGCCCGGUCCUUCCCGGGAAAGAAUGCCUGCCAGAGUGGACAGCUCAUCUUCCCAAAGAUCUGAUCCUAAAGUUCAGGGUGCUUAGUGCAAUUCUAAGACACCCUGAAAACUCUCGAGUGACCACGCCCUUUCACCUGCACAGCUUCACUUCUGGGAUGCAAGCUAUGGGUGAGAAUGCCCCGGUAGAAGCAAGGAACCUGUGAGAGCCGAGCUCUAUCCCAAGGAGACGAAGAGGAAAAGGUUACAGUGGUCCCCAGGCUGUUGGCAGGCUGCUGCUGCUCAGUGAGUCGAGGCCAGUUCUGGUUCCCACGGGUCAGCCCUGGUCAUGGUGCUGCACAGAUGCCCUGGCAGUGGAGGAUGGAGUGGCUUCCCCCACCGGGAGCAGGGAGCUCUUCUUAUUCCAACAGGAUGACUUCCUCUCCAGAGCUGAUAAGAGGCCUACAUUGUGCCCUCGGUUCCCCUAAACCACCAGAAAUAAAA
Molecule: long non-coding RNA, 1507 nt
Organism: Peromyscus maniculatus bairdii (prairie deer mouse)
Lineage: Eukaryota; Metazoa; Chordata; Mammalia; Rodentia; Cricetidae
Source: RefSeq, a predicted model, not a curated record